This is a long non-coding RNA of Oncorhynchus tshawytscha (Chinook salmon), 584 nucleotides long. The record is from Ensembl. Lineage: Eukaryota; Metazoa; Chordata; Actinopteri; Salmoniformes; Salmonidae.
GUGAGUCCAAUGAAUCGCUGAUGUGCGUGACGAGGGAAACAGGUGCGUCUAAUGAUGGUAUUAGGAGUGCGUAGUGCUGGGCAGCCAGGUGCCCUCGAGUGCCAGGGAGGGAGAACGAGUGCCAGGGAGGGAGAGCGGGGGCUGGCGUGACAGAAUGAGAAGAAGAGUCCACACAACACCACCUGUGUACUGGGUCUGCUGGUCAGUCAACUGAGAUUACGAUACACAGAUGGAGAGCGGAGCAUGGCAGAUUAUGAAGGGGAGUAGUCCAAUAAAGACAUGGACUGACUAUAACAGUUCUACAUCUUACAAUUUUCACAAGGAUUUUGAUGCAUAUAGUCAUGGCUAAUAAACUACACUGACUCCUCAAAUGCAGCUGCAAAUUGGUAUUGGACUGAAAGACAGAGGCAUAAGUCGUCAGAAACCUCAGACAGCAAAGAAACGAAGGCAGCUUCACCAGAGACAGCGAUAUUGGACUCACCUGGGCUCUCUCUUCACCUGUUAUUACCUCCCCUGCUCUGUUCCCCGCUUCUGCAUUGAUUGUUUUUUGUUUGUGUUACUCGUUUGCUGACACUGUUCCUGGC